Molecule: ribosomal RNA, 500 nt
Filed under: uncultured bacterium
Lineage: Bacteria
Description: partial 16S ribosomal RNA
Rfam family: Bacterial small subunit ribosomal RNA
Source: RNAcentral
GACGAACGCUGGCGGCGUGCUUAACACAUGCAAGUCGAACGGGCCUGUCUUCUUUUUUGGGGGGUGGGUUGAGUGGCGAACGGGUGAGUAUCACGUGAGUAACCUGCCCUUCGGACCUGGAUAACCGCUUGAAAGGGCGGCUAAUACGGGGUGGUCCGGUUGGUCCGCAUGGGCUGGUCGGGAUAGAUUCACUGUUUUUGGUGUUUCGGCGGGGGAUGGGCUCGCGGCCUAUCAGCUUGUUGGUGGGGUGAUGGCCUACCAAGGCGGUGACGGGUAGCCGGCCUGAGAGGGUGGGCGGCCACACUGGGACUGAGAUACGGCCCAGACUCCUGCGGGAGGCAGCAGUGGGGGGUAUUGCACAAUGGGCGGAAGCCUGAUGCAGCGACGUCGCGUGAGGGAUGGAGGCCUUCGGGUUGUGAACCUCUGUUUCCGGUGGUGAAGGCCCUGUCCGUGUGGUGGGGUUGACGGUAGCCGGGGAUGAAGCGCCGGCUAACUACGUG